RNAcentral lists this ribosomal RNA (492 nucleotides) under uncultured bacterium. Its description in RNAcentral is "partial 16S ribosomal RNA". It matches the Rfam family "Bacterial small subunit ribosomal RNA", at positions 29 to 507 of the family's 1533-position model. The record is from RNAcentral.
AGUGAACGCUGGCGGUAGGCCUAACACAUGCAAGUCGAGCGGAAGCACAGUAAGCUCUUGCUCUUACGGUUGGCGACUGGCGGGUGGGUGAGGCGUACAUCGCAAUCUUCUUUUUCUUGGGUGAUAACGUGGGGAAGCUUACGCUAAUAGCGCAUACGUCCAACGGGUGAAAUCAGUGGAUCUUCGGACCUUUGCCGAUUCUAUGAGCCGAGGUCGGAUUAGCUAGUUGGUGGGGUAAAGGCCUACCAAGGCAACGAUGCGUAGCUGGUCUGAGAGGAUGAUCGGCCACACUGGAACUGAGACACGGUCCAGACUCCUACGGGAGGCAGCAGUGGGGAAUAUUGGACAAUGGGCGAAAGCCUGAUGCAGCCAUGCCGCGUGAGUGAAGAAGGUCUUCGGAUUGUAAAGCCCUUUUAUUAGGGAAGAAAAGCAGUAGGUUAAUACCUCGCUGUUUUGACGGUACCCAAAGAAUAAGCACCGGCUAACUUCGUG